RNAcentral lists this ribosomal RNA (449 nucleotides) under uncultured bacterium. Its description in RNAcentral is "partial 16S ribosomal RNA". It matches the Rfam family "Bacterial small subunit ribosomal RNA", at positions 29 to 523 of the family's 1533-position model. The record is from RNAcentral.
AAUGAACGCUGGCGGCAGGCCUAACACGUGCAAGUCGAACGGAUCCUUCGGGAUUAGUGGCGGACGGGUGAGUAACGCGUGGGAACAUACCCUUUGGUACGGAAUAGCCUCGGGAAACUGAGAGUAAUACCGUAUGUGGUCGAGAGACGAAAGAUUUAUCGCCAAAGGAUUGGCCCGCGUUGGAUUAGGUAGUUGGUGGGGUAAUGGCCUACCAAGCCGACGAACCAUAGCUGGUUUGAGAGGAUGAUCAGCCACACUGGGACUGAGACACGGCCCAGACUCCUACGGGAGGAAGGAGUGGGGAAUCUUAGACAAUGGGGGAAACCCUGAUCGAGCCAUGCCGCGUGAUCGAUGAAGGCCUUAGGGUUGUAAAGAUCUUUCAGGUGGGAAGAUAAUGACUGUACCACCAGAAGAAGCCCCGGCUAACUCCGUGCCAGCCGCCGCAGUAA